CAGCAUGAUGAUAAACUGGGCUUGCGGAAGCAGAUUGAGCAGAAAAAGAGGUUGCAAAAGGUCGACCUGUGGUAUCUGGAA
This is a small nucleolar RNA of Macleaya cordata, 81 nucleotides long. The record is from Rfam. NCBI's taxonomy places the organism in Eukaryota, Viridiplantae, Streptophyta, Magnoliopsida, Ranunculales, Papaveraceae.